Long non-coding RNA from Suncus etruscus (white-toothed pygmy shrew), 1031 nucleotides. RefSeq lists it as uncharacterized. The record is from RefSeq and is a predicted model, not a curated record. Lineage: Eukaryota; Metazoa; Chordata; Mammalia; Eulipotyphla; Soricidae. The transcript is spliced from 2 exons.
CCUACAGGGUAGCCCUGAGUGAGGCCAGUCCCUGGCCAUUUUGUGCAUCAUGAAAUGGGAAUGACACAACCCAUGGAGUGGAUUUUUCGUAGUGGUCCCUCCAUCUACUGGGGCCUGCUCUGAGGGGAAUCUUCUCGCCAGCUGCCUGAAAGGGCUCUGGAGAGCCCCCGUUCACUGCCUUCAUGUCUGGCAGUUUGGAGGGGACCUUGGACCUCCUUGUAGCAUCUGGGUGCUUGUGAAGACCCAUCUGUGUGAGUCCCGCUUGUUGGCUCACCUAAGAGCUGGGAAUAGCUCCCUGUUCACCCUGGGGGGCUGGGCACAGAAGGCAUGGGGCCGGCCCCCAGACCCCUUCAGCUGCCAGCCCCUGGCCUGUGCCUUCCGACCAUCAGCCAUUUCUUGCUGAGUUCCUUCCCAGCCAGAGGCGCAGAAUGCUGGGCAGACUCCAACCUGGACAGGGCCAUGGAACAGAUGUGCUGGUUCCUCUCUGAGUCGCUUCUACGGUGGUGCUGGUGGUGGUGGCGACUUGAUGGGCAUUGUCAGCUUCCAUAAGGAAGCAGAGUCCCGGCGGCCAUCCCUGAAGGUGAAGCCUCCACUUGGUCUGGAGGACUGAGUCAGAACCAUUGGACCCUGCUCACUUCCAGGCAGCAGCAGGCAUGGCUGGCCCUUGACCCCUGCACUCCGAGAUGCCCAGACCAAAGAAGCUGCUGUUCUUAGCAAGAUGCAUACUGCGUUCAUAGCCAAGAAGAUUUGGGGAGGCAGGGCUCACUGUCUAGCCCACAGACGUCAGGCAUCGGAACCCACGUUUCCUAGCAGCUCACCUGGGCAGCAACCCAAGAUGAGCAGAAGAGCAGAGCAUCGACCCACCUACAUGAGCAGCACCUGGACUCUUAAAAGGCUCCACCUGCUCAGGCCACAUCUCACUUGAGCUGCCUCUGGAGUUUGGGGUACACAACCCCUAAAAUGAGCUUUACUUAAGGUGACCUAGGUUGUGGGAUGGGAACAGAGGCCUCAAGUGGCUGCUCUGGAAGAAA